This 333-nucleotide ribosomal RNA is filed under the name uncultured Bacillota bacterium. RNAcentral's name for it is "bacterial SSU rRNA". It matches the Rfam family "Bacterial small subunit ribosomal RNA", at positions 28 to 351 of the family's 1533-position model. The record is from RNAcentral. Lineage: Bacteria; Bacillati; Bacillota.
GACGAACGCUGGCGGCGUGCCUAAUACAUGCAAGUCGAGCGGACUUGUGGGAGCUUGCUCCCACAAGUUAGCGGCGGACGGGUGAGUAACACGUGGGCAACCUGCCUGUAAGACUGGGAUAACUUCGGGAAACCGGAGCUAAUACCGGAUAACUUCUUUCUCCGCCUGGAGAAAGGUUGAAAGACGGCUUCGGCUGUCACUUACAGAUGGGCCCGCGGCGCAUUAGCUAGUUGGUGAGGUAACGGCUCACCAAGGCGACGAUGCGUAGCCGACCUGAGAGGGUGAUCGGCCACACUGGGACUGAGACACGGCCCAGACUCCUACGGGUGGCAG